Molecule: long non-coding RNA, 131 nt
Organism: Amphimedon queenslandica
Lineage: Eukaryota; Metazoa; Porifera; Demospongiae; Haplosclerida; Niphatidae
Exons: 3
Source: RefSeq, a predicted model, not a curated record
AGACAAGAAAUACAAUCAACUCCUGAUGAAUCAAAACCAAGCAUUGCUACUGAUCUCACAUUGGCCACUAUUUUAGCAUCAUCAACAAGUAAAAUAAUUGUUUCAUAUUCUACUGAGACAACUACCACGAC